RNAcentral lists this ribosomal RNA (428 nucleotides) under uncultured Syntrophaceae bacterium. RNAcentral's name for it is "bacterial SSU rRNA". It matches the Rfam family "Bacterial small subunit ribosomal RNA", at positions 356 to 774 of the family's 1533-position model. Lineage: Bacteria; Pseudomonadati; Thermodesulfobacteriota; Syntrophia; Syntrophales; Syntrophaceae. The record is from RNAcentral.
GAGGAAUCUUGCGCAAUGGGGGAAACCCUGACGCAGCAACGCCGCGUGAGUGAGGAAGGUCUUCGGGUCGUAAAGCUCUGUCAGGCGGGAAGAAAUGCAUGGAGGUGAACAGCCGCCAUGCUUGACGGUACCGCCAGAGGAAGCACCGGCUAACUCCGUGCCAGCAGCCGCGGUAAUACGGGGGGUGCAAGCGUUGUUCGGAAUCAUUGGGCGUAAAGAGCGUGUAGGCGGCUUGGUAAGUCAGAUGUGGAAAGCCCUGGGCUCAACUCAGGAAGUGCAUUUGAAACUGCCAGGCUCGAGUAGGGGAGAGGGAAGUGGAAUUCCUGGUGUAGAGGUGAAAUUCGUAGAUAUCAGGAGGAACACCGGUGGCGAAGGCGACUUCCUGGCCCUAUACUGACGCUGAGACGCGAAAGCGUGGGUAGCAAACA